RNAcentral lists this ribosomal RNA (467 nucleotides) under uncultured bacterium. RNAcentral's name for it is "partial 16S ribosomal RNA". It matches the Rfam family "Bacterial small subunit ribosomal RNA", at positions 29 to 507 of the family's 1533-position model. The record is from RNAcentral.
ACGCACGCUGGCGGCGUGCUUCACACCUGCCAGUCGGACGGAAAGGCCCUGCUUUUGUGGGGUGCUCGAGUGGCGAACGGGGGAGUAACACGUGAGUAACCUGCCCUUGACUUUGGGAUAACUUCAGGAAACGGGGGCUAAUACCGGAUAGGAGCUCCUGCUGCAUGGUGGGGGUUGGAAAGUUUCGGCGGUUGGGGAUGGACUCGCGGCUUAUCAGCUUGUUGGGGGGGUAGGGGCUUACCAAGGCUUUGACGGGUAGCCGGCCUGAGAGGGUGACCGGCCACAUUGGGACUGAGAUACGGCCCAGACUCCUACGGGAGGCAGCGGUGGGGAAUAUUGCACAAUGGGCGGAAGCCUGAUGCAGCAACGCCGCGUGCGGGAUGACGGCCUUCGGGUUGUAAACCGCUUUCGCCUGUGACGAAGCGUGAGUGACGGUAAUGGGUAAAGAAGCACCGGCUAACUACGUG